CAGAAUUAUAAGUUUUUACAAUAAAAUGUGAUAUUAAAUUAAAACAUAUUAACUACAAAACUAAAUUAAAAUGUGUAACAAAAUAUAAGAAAAAAAUUAAAUUUGUUCGCGUAACAUAUAAUAAAGGCACCAGCGUUGAUUUUGUUUGUGACAAUUUGUAAACUAAGGACUAUCAAGCCAAACAGCUCAAAAUCAACAACUAUCACAUGUGUAAUAUGUUUGCAUAAGAAGACGGAUGUAUGUAAAUAUGUAUUUAUGCAUAAAAAGCAACAAACAUGGAAACCCACUUAACACGCCAAACACUGAGCACUGAAGCCGAUUCAGCAAGAAUAACCGUUAUACUUUGUACCAAAGUUUAAGUGGAAUUUUCGAACAAAGAUCCUUUCUCCGCCUUUAGUUGCGGUUGCAAGGAAAGUAAACAAGAAACAAAAAAGUGGAGUAUAUAAAGGGGUUCCAGCAGCAGGAGCACAUAAUACACACUAGUGAGACUUUUAUUUUUACAGGCGAACCAAACUAUUUUUCUUUUGAGCUAUAAGAGAGCAGGUGUGGAAGAGUUUGGGAGCUGCAAGAGACGGGGAAAGCUGCAGUAACCACGUGCCAGCUGUUGGAGAGUUAAAACAGCCGAGCACCCAGUCGUUGGUGGGCUGGUUAAAUAAAUGCGUGCACACGUGUUUGCUUAAUGGCUUUACCCACGCAAUGGAGUGUCAACACACACAUCCAUUUAUA
This is a long non-coding RNA of Zeugodacus cucurbitae (melon fly), 726 nucleotides long. RefSeq lists it as uncharacterized. Lineage: Eukaryota; Metazoa; Arthropoda; Insecta; Diptera; Tephritidae. The transcript is spliced from 3 exons. The record is from RefSeq and is a predicted model, not a curated record.